RNAcentral lists this non-coding RNA (235 nucleotides) under Evansella cellulosilytica. RNAcentral describes it as "Bacillus cellulosilyticus T-box sequence". It matches the Rfam family "T-box leader". From Rfam's summary of the family: Uncharged tRNA acts as the effector for transcription antitermination of genes in the T-box leader family. T-boxes are found upstream of many aminoacyl-tRNA synthetase genes and some amino acid biosynthetic genes usually in Gram-positive bacteria. The record is from RNAcentral. Lineage: Bacteria; Bacillati; Bacillota; Bacilli; Caryophanales; Bacillaceae.
UGUACACCGAUGAGGGAGAAGAGUAAUGAAGAUCGUCUAUGGACAGAGAAGAAAUGCCGUUGGCUGUAAGCGUUUCUACAUGGAACUUCAUGAAUGAACACUCCUUAGGUAUUUCUCUGAAAAAUAAGUAGUACUUUAAGUAGGAGAAAUCGUAAUCAGGCGUUAACUGAUCGAGAGGAAGCCAUUUGUGCUUCAACUAGGGUGGUACCACGGGAUUCAAACUCUCGUCCCUGAC